Molecule: transfer RNA, 92 nt
Filed under: Candidatus Babelota bacterium
Lineage: Bacteria
Description: tRNA-Ser
Rfam family: tRNA
About the family: Transfer RNA (tRNA) molecules are approximately 80 nucleotides in length. Their secondary structure includes four short double-helical elements and three loops (D, anti-codon, and T loops). Further hydrogen bonds mediate the characteristic L-shaped molecular structure. tRNAs have two regions of fundamental functional importance: the anti-codon, which is responsible for specific mRNA codon recognition, and the 3' end, to which the tRNAs corresponding amino acid is attached (by aminoacyl-tRNA synthetases). tRNAs cope with the degeneracy of the genetic code in two manners: having more than one tRNA (with a specific anti-codon) for a particular amino acid; and 'wobble' base-pairing, i.e. permitting non-standard base-pairing at the 3rd anti-codon position.
Source: RNAcentral
GGAGAGGUGUCUGAGUGGUUGAAAGAGCACGCUUGGAAAGUGUGUAUGUCUCGUAAGGGGCAUCGAGGGUUCGAAUCCCUCUCUCUCCACCA